Long non-coding RNA from Cucurbita maxima (winter squash), 321 nucleotides. RefSeq lists it as uncharacterized. The transcript is spliced from 2 exons. Lineage: Eukaryota; Viridiplantae; Streptophyta; Magnoliopsida; Cucurbitales; Cucurbitaceae. The record is from RefSeq and is a predicted model, not a curated record.
CACUCCAUCCCACAUCUGGCCGGUGACAGAUUGAAGAGAAAAAGCCAAAAGAUGAGCGAAAAACAGAGCAUUGAGGAGGAGAAGAAGAAGAAACAAAAAGGAUAAUGAAAAAUAACGGAAAAAUGAUAUGAGCUGAGAGAAAGAGUUGGAGUUGGACUGAUAGCAUGUGAGAAUCUGAAAUUUUAUUAUAAUUUAGGGCGGAGAAAGGAUUUAGCGUAAGCCCUACAUAAUGGGGUCUGAGUCUUCGUUCUUUUAUGUUAACGGCUACAUUUUUUCUUCAGUUAUUCGGGCUACGUGACAUUUAUUUUUUCCCUUUGCUUC